RNAcentral lists this ribosomal RNA (433 nucleotides) under uncultured bacterium. RNAcentral describes it as "partial 16S ribosomal RNA". It matches the Rfam family "Bacterial small subunit ribosomal RNA", at positions 29 to 507 of the family's 1533-position model. The record is from RNAcentral.
AACGAACGCUGGCGGCAUGCCUAACACAUGCAAGUCGAACGAGACCUUCGGGUCUAGUGGCGCACGGGUGCGUAACGCGUGGGAACCUGCCCUUAGGUUCGGAAUAACUCCCCGAAAGGGGUGCUAAUACCGGAUAAUGUCCUCGGACCAAAGAUUUAUCGCCUUUGGAUGGGCCCGCGUUGGAUUAGCUAGUUGGUAGGGUAAAAGCCUACCAAGGCGACGAUCCAUAGCUGGUCUGAGAGGAAGAUCAGCCACACUGGGACUGAGACACGGCCCAGACUCCUACGGGAGGCAGCAGUGGGGAAUAUUGGACAAUGGGCGAAAGCCUGAUCCAGCAAUGCCGCGUGAGUGAUGAAGGCCUUAGGGUUGUAAAGCUCUUUUACCCGGGAUGAUAAUGACAGUACCGGGAGAAUAAGCUCCGGCUAACUCCGUG